GUGAUUUUUUAAGAGCUUGAUAACUUUUUUUAAAAAAAAAACGCAUAAAAUUUGCAAAAUCUCAUCGGUUCUUUCUUUGAAACGUUAGAUUGGUUCAUGACAUUUACUUUUUGAAGAUAAUUUCAUUUAAAUGUUGACCGCGGCUGCGUCUUAGGUGGUCCAUUCGGAAAGUCCAAUUUUGGGCAACUUUUUCGAGCAUUUCGGCCGGAAUAGCCCGAAUUUCUUCGGAAAUGUUGUCUUCCAAAGCUGGAAUAGUUGCUGGCUUAUUUCUGUAGGCUUUAGACUUGACGUAGCCCCACAAAAAAUAGUCUAAAGGCGUUAAAUCGCAUGAUCUUGGUGGCCAACUUACGGGUCCAUUUCUUGAGAUGAAUUGUUGUCCGAAGUUUUCCCUCAAAAUGGCCAUAGAAUCGCGAGCUGUGUGGCAUGUAGCGCCAUCUUGUUGAAACCACAUGUCAACCAAGUUCAGUUCUUCCAUUUUUGGCAACAAAAAGUUUGUUAGCAUCGAACGAUAGCGAUCGCCAUUCACCGUAACGUUGCGUCCAACAGCAUCUUUGAAAAAAAUACGGUCCAAUGAUUCCACCAGCGUACAAACCACACCAAACAGUGCAUUUUUCGGGAUGCAUGGGCAGUUCUUGAACGGCUUCUGGUUGCUCUUCACCCCAAAUGCGGCAAUUUUGCUUAUUUACGUAGCCAUUCAACCAGAAAUGAGCCUCAUCAUAAGUCGGACGUAAAGCGCGAAACACAUUUCGAACCGAACACUGAUUUUGGUAAUAAAAUUCAAUGAUUUGCAAGCGUUGCUCGUUAGUAAGUCUAUUCAUGAUGAAAUGUCAAAGCAUACUGAGCAUCUUUCUCUUUGACACCAUGUCUGAAAUCCCACGUGAUCUGUCAAAUACUAAUGCAUGAAAAUCCUAACCUCAAAAAAAUCACCCGUUAUAAUUAUUCCA
This is a long non-coding RNA of Bactrocera dorsalis (oriental fruit fly), 944 nucleotides long. RefSeq lists it as uncharacterized. The record is from RefSeq and is a predicted model, not a curated record. The transcript has 2 exons. Lineage: Eukaryota; Metazoa; Arthropoda; Insecta; Diptera; Tephritidae.